This 946-nucleotide long non-coding RNA is filed under the name Salvia miltiorrhiza (redroot sage). RNAcentral describes it as "long non-coding RNA (SMIL_LNC013053)". The record is from RNAcentral. Lineage: Eukaryota; Viridiplantae; Streptophyta; Magnoliopsida; Lamiales; Lamiaceae.
CACGGGUAUUUAGGAGAGGUAAAGUAGAUGUAAAAGUAGUGGGGACCACAUAAUUAGUGCUUUAAUUAAUGUUAUUUUAUUUCUUAAUUAAAAUGACUAAUCAAGUCUCUGCUCCUCCCUCUCUCUGUACGUGAGUUUUACCGCAGCUGUUCGCCGACUGUUUCAGCCACCGGUUGUUGGCCGUGACUCCGCCGGCUGCCCCUUUCCCUCCUCUGAACCUCUCAAUCCGACGCAGACACCACCAUGGACAGAGAGCCCCCUAAUUACUCAAGCUAUGAUACAGAUUAUCAGGACAACGAAAUACCGAAAUCAAGCUCAGAAACCAACCAAAUCAGACGAUUUUCCCUAAAUCCCUGCAAAUCCCUAAAUUAUUCGAGCAGAUCUGCCGCGGUGCAGGCGGUAGAAAGCGGCGCUGGAGCAUGGUGGAGACGGCGGAGGCGUUGGCCUUGGAGUCGGUGCAUUUCGCCUUCCUUUUGCAGAGGGCAGCGCCGCCGCUAGAAAAACGGGCGGCGGUUGGCUGCGCGGAUGUGUCUGGGAGAGGGAGUCGGUGGAGGCGGAGGAGAUCAGAGGCGAAGGCGGUGGAUGCAGAGGGUUGAGGCGGUGGAGAGAUAGGAGGCGGCGGCGCCUCGUCGACGCCAGGAGCCCUUGUCGCCGGAAAACGGACGGCGAGGUAGGGGCCUUGUUGCUGCGGUCACCGGGAGAGAAGAGGAACGGUGGUCAGAUUUGUGGGUUGAGGCAUCCGAGAGAGAGAAGAGGCGAAGAGAGAGAGAGAGUGUGAGAUUUGGGAAAGAGAGUGAGAGAGAGAGAGAGAGAGAGAGAUUAGAGUUAGAAAGGGAGAGAGAAUGUCUAAUUAAUUGAACUAAUUGUAUUGUAAUUUAUGCCAAAAAAGGAAAGGAGACUUGAAUAUUGGGACGGCCCAAAAAGAAAUAGGAGACUUGAAUAUUGG